Molecule: transfer RNA, 72 nt
Filed under: Clostridiales bacterium
Lineage: Bacteria; Bacillati; Bacillota; Clostridia; Eubacteriales
Description: tRNA-Glu
Rfam family: tRNA
About the family: Transfer RNA (tRNA) molecules are approximately 80 nucleotides in length. Their secondary structure includes four short double-helical elements and three loops (D, anti-codon, and T loops). Further hydrogen bonds mediate the characteristic L-shaped molecular structure. tRNAs have two regions of fundamental functional importance: the anti-codon, which is responsible for specific mRNA codon recognition, and the 3' end, to which the tRNAs corresponding amino acid is attached (by aminoacyl-tRNA synthetases). tRNAs cope with the degeneracy of the genetic code in two manners: having more than one tRNA (with a specific anti-codon) for a particular amino acid; and 'wobble' base-pairing, i.e. permitting non-standard base-pairing at the 3rd anti-codon position.
Source: RNAcentral
GGCCUGUUGGUCAAGCGGUCAAGACGCGGCCCUCUCACGGCUGAAACGGGGGUUCGAUUCCCCCACAGGUCA